AUGGUUCUUCCCACCCCUCAAGGAGCGCAGCCUCGGCUCCCCCCUGCCAACACUCGAGAGGGAUCUGGGAGCGAGACAUCAGUUAAUCCCACCUCCUUGACAUUUUGGCCGGGAAAGGGAGAAAGCCCACCCGGCUGCUCUGUCCACGCCUCUCGACCGGGAACCCCGGAGGAGCGCUCAAAAGGCGCUUUCCUCCAGAGCGCCCGCGCGCAGAGGCGACAGAGACGCCGCGGCAGCCCAGCUGCGUCCUAUGGAGAGAGAAUUCGGCGGCGCCCUUCUGGCGCGCUCCACACCGGGACGCCUUUCGACCUUUCCCCCAACAGGUGGCGAAGGGCUCUCCGCGGCGGCGGCAGCAACCGAGCGAGCGUGACCGUGCUGCAGGCCACCACGAUCGGAAAGCGAAAUCACUUUAACCCGGACCCGAGGCGAUUUGCCGGACGGAAAACGCGGCCGAAGCCAAGGGAAGAGCUCCGGCCGCGGCUUGGGCUUCUCUUCGCCCCUUCCGGAAGACGAGAGCGCGGCGGCGGCGGCGGCCACUUUUGCCAUUUUAAUUUCCCGCUUCCACGCCUGCCGGGCCGCCCGCUGCCAAGGUUUGGCGCCGGGGCCACAGCACCAUGGACGCGACCGCGACGGCAGCAGCCCCACCAUGAGCGAGAGCACGCCUCCGCGCGGACCAUGUCCCAUGCUCUUUUAAGGAAUAUCUUUCGGAUUCUACUCCUGUACCUAGUUCUGGUGCCAGAUGCGCCAUCCCUUUGCAUGAAGGCAAUCCAAGAAGAGUAUGAGAAUGUGUUAUUCCCCUUCAUUACUUACCUGAACAAUUUGAUCCAGGACACCCCAUCGUGCAAUUCAACUAAGGUGUCUUUGUCCGUGGAAUGGUCCAGGUUAUGUACCAAGUACAUGAAAUCUUGAACAGGAAGGCACAUUGUUGUGAUGUGCCAUCAAAUCGCUUCUGACUGAACUGUAACCCUGAUAGGGUUUUUGAGGUAUGUGAGAUGUUCAUGGAGUGAAUUACUGUUCCUAUAUACCCAGUGAUUUUCUUGGCUGAGUAGGGAUUUGAGCCCUGGUCUCCUGGGUCCUAAUUCAGUACCCUGUUCACUAUACCACAGUGGUUCUCAAGGUACAUUAUACGGCUGAAAUAUUGGGGUAGUUAAGUCAGAUCAUGUUAGAGGUGCAUGGGAGUGUACCUCUGCUAUUGUGUGACCACUCAAAUCUACAUUCUGUAAGGCAUUUCUGAUAGGAGGGGUAAUCCAAACAAAAUGUUACAACUUCUAAGCAGGUUCUUGAAUCAGGACCAUAUUUGACAAAGUGAUUGUAGACAGUAUGGGUGUGCUCUGUGCCAAAUUUGGAGAAGGUUGGACAAGUACUUUUAGAGAUUUUAUUUCUGAUUUUAAAAAUAAACAUUGCUAUUCUCCUGUUCA
RNAcentral lists this long non-coding RNA (1418 nucleotides) under Pogona vitticeps (central bearded dragon). Its description in RNAcentral is "lncRNA (ENSPVIG00000024026.1)". Lineage: Eukaryota; Metazoa; Chordata; Lepidosauria; Squamata; Agamidae. The record is from RNAcentral.